AACGAAUCCCACACCGCAUCGUUAAGUGGAGUGGAGUGCCUUCGAAGGUGGUGCGUUCAAUUAAAAAAUACUUUACGAUAUUACAAAAUUACCACGUAACAGGGAGGUGGCCCGCUCUCCCUCUCUCUCUCUCUCUCUCUCUCUCUCUCUCGCUGUGUGUUUGUGAGCGGAGGAGGCGGGCCAAGUCUGGGCAGUGGCAAGGGCAGCCGGCCAGGUCUAUGCUCCUCACGAGAGACAGCAGCCAGUCCGGGCCAGGCCGAGGCCCAGUUCGAGAUGCAGGCGCAAAGCCGCAAGAGCCACUGCCACAGCCACAAACGGGACGCAUGCGCAUAGUUCGAAUGGCAUUAAGUACGCCACUUGAGGCAGAGACUGGCCACUGCACAGUGGUGCAAUGGUGGGUCAGAAUGGAAAGUACUUUCCACAUCAAAUAAAUGUGAAUCUGUGAUAUCUUGGAGUACAUUCGAGCAAGUAA
This 472-nucleotide long non-coding RNA is filed under the name Drosophila guanche. The record is from RNAcentral. Lineage: Eukaryota; Metazoa; Arthropoda; Insecta; Diptera; Drosophilidae.